AACGAACGCUGGCGGCAUGCCUAACACAUGCAAGUCGAACGAGACCUUCGGGUCUAGUGGCGCAAGGGUGCGUAACGCGUGGGAACCUGCCCUUAGGUUCGGAAUAACUCCCCGAAAGGGGUGCUAAUACCGGAUAAUGUCUUCGGACCAAAGAUUUAUCGCCUUUGGCUGGGCCCGCGUUGGAUUAGCUAGUUGGUAGGGUAAAAGCCUACCAAGGCGACGAUCCAUAGCUGGUCUGAGAGGAUGAUCAGCCACACUGGGACUGAGACACGGCCCAGACUCCUACGGGAAGCAGCAGUGGGGAAUAUUGGACAAUGGGCGAAAGCCUGAGACAGCAAUGCCGCGUGAGUGAUGAAGGCCUUAGGGUUGUAAAGCUCUUUUACCCGGGAUGAUAAUGACAGUACCGGGAGAAUAAGCUCCGGCUAACUCCGUG
This 433-nucleotide ribosomal RNA is filed under the name uncultured bacterium. RNAcentral describes it as "partial 16S ribosomal RNA". It matches the Rfam family "Bacterial small subunit ribosomal RNA", at positions 29 to 507 of the family's 1533-position model. The record is from RNAcentral.